Molecule: ribosomal RNA, 425 nt
Filed under: uncultured bacterium
Lineage: Bacteria
Description: bacterial SSU rRNA
Rfam family: Bacterial small subunit ribosomal RNA
Source: RNAcentral
GUGGGGAAUCUUGCACAAUGGGGGAAACCCUGAUGCAGCGACGCCGCGUGAGCGAUGAAGCCCUUCGGGGUGUAAAGCUCUUUCGGCAGGAACGAUUAUGACGGUACCUGCGGAAGAAGCUGCGGCUAACUACGUGCCAGCAGCCGCGGUAAUACGUAGGCAGCAAGCGUUGUUCGGAGUUACUGGGCGUAAAGGGUGUGUAGGCGGUGUCCUAAGUUCGGUGUGAAAUCUCCCGGCUCAACCGGGAGGGUGCGCCGAAAACUGGGACGCUCGAGCGCGGGAGAGGAAAGUGGAAUUCCUGGUGUAGCGGUGAAAUGCGUAGAUAUCAGGAGGAACACCGGUGGUGAAGACGGCUUUCUGGACCGCUGCUGACGCUGAGACACGAAAGCGUGGGGAGCAAACAGGAUUAGAUACCCGUGUAGUCC